AUGGCUGGCAGCAACUGCGAGACUCGAGUGUUCACGAACGUGCCCGAGGGGUUUGUCAAACUCCUCGUCUCCAUCACCAAGCUCACGAUCGGGCCAGCGACUCGUCCGGAGUUCACGCUUUACCAGCACAAGCUCAGUGACGACGUGUCUAUGCACCAAGCUGUGGUGCAAUUCAAGGGAGGACGUUCUGCAUCUCGCCACUUCCGUUUUGUCGGAAGGGCCAUGCCUACGGAGAGGAUCGCCAUGCAGAUGGCUGCCCGUGAGGCGAUAGCUCGUCUUCGGGACAUCCUUCCUAUGAUGAAGACUCGUCGCUACCGCUACCUCCCAUGCCAUGUGCCAUAUACCUGUCACUAUGCAUUUGCCUGCCAUCGGGGAGAGCGAGAUGAAGCCAUUGAGAUGGUCGUGGAGUACCUCAAGGCUCUGGAGGAAUCCUUCGACAACCUCGUGGAUGAUCUUGUGGCUGCCCGCAUGGACUUAGUCCGGGGCGGUCCUGCCAGCAGGAAGGAGCUUCUCCUCACGGCACUGCCUCUGACAUUCGUCUCGUCUUCAGCCUCUUAUGCACUGGCCAUUUUGGCCACUGCUCACCGUCUGCCUACCACUGAGGAGUUCGACAGGGUCGUCGCUCCUACUCCAGUCAGAGCUGCACCGCCUGCCGCACCCGCACUACCACCUGUCGCCCCCGCGCCAUCACCGCAGCGCAGUGUUACGCGCCAGGAGCCAGCUAGAGAGGAGGUGGAGGUUGAAUCUCCUGCACCGCUGAGUCUUGCCCUCGGCAAGGGAAAGGACAUCGUCACCAUCUCCGACUGA
This 807-nucleotide ribosomal RNA is filed under the name Triticum aestivum (bread wheat). Its description in RNAcentral is "partial small subunit ribosomal RNA". The record is from RNAcentral. Lineage: Eukaryota; Viridiplantae; Streptophyta; Magnoliopsida; Poales; Poaceae.